GGAAGAGAGCAAGGCUUGCAUGGUGAUAAGGGUGUAGCUCUGGUAGCCAAGGAUGACUUGCCUGUGUCCUUGUGUAGAGGAUCAUUCAGAAAAUGAGCCUUGAACUGGUUCAUAGGCAGUCUCCUUGGCUAGUCUGAGUCGCUCUUAUCACUCAUGUUAGGCUUGCAUCUCGUUGA
Molecule: microRNA precursor, 176 nt
Filed under: Oryza sativa (Asian cultivated rice)
Lineage: Eukaryota; Viridiplantae; Streptophyta; Magnoliopsida; Poales; Poaceae
Source: RNAcentral